UCAAACUUUUGAUCCUCCUGUCUCAGUCUACCAGCCUGCUGGGAUUAGACCUGAGCCACCAUGUCUGGCAAGGAAAAUGAUGUAUUUUCCAGUUUAUAGAUGGUGGAGAUUGUUCCCCAAUAUGGAGCACACAGCACUGUGGAAGCAGGAUAAGGGACCUGUGAAGUCCCGCUUAACUCCUGAAUCUCCAGUAAGACGGUAGAGCAACGCUGGUGUGUCCAUCAAGCUCUCUACAGUGUGCAAAACUGUUCUCUGGAGAUUGACUAAAACAUCUAGUUCUGAAGGGUGGUAUUGAUCUCAUUCAUCUGCUGUGAGCAACAGAUGCUUCUACAUGUAAGAUGUUUCUUUAAUUUUACAUCUUCUAAUUAUAUUAAAGGUAUUUUCCCAAAGUUGUUUCUCCUAUGUCUUUUCUUGACCUAUUUUUAUUCUUCAUCUGAAGAAUAAAGGAGGUGUAGAAAGCAGAGGGAAUCCUGAGCCCUUUAAAGAAACAAAGGAGGAGCAGAGUGAAUUGUGCUUAAUGACUGGUAACUUUUAAUAAGUAUUUAAGGCCCCACAUCUCCCCCAACAAGCAG
This is a long non-coding RNA of Chinchilla lanigera (long-tailed chinchilla), 572 nucleotides long. RefSeq lists it as uncharacterized. Lineage: Eukaryota; Metazoa; Chordata; Mammalia; Rodentia; Chinchillidae. The record is from RefSeq and is a predicted model, not a curated record. The transcript is spliced from 3 exons.